UCCGCCUUGGUGUAAUUGGCAGCACACGGGUCUUUGGUGCCCUUGGUUCAGGUUCGAGUCCUGGGGGCGGAG
RNAcentral lists this transfer RNA (72 nucleotides) under Bifidobacteriaceae bacterium. RNAcentral's name for it is "tRNA-Gln". It matches the Rfam family "tRNA". Rfam says of the family: Transfer RNA (tRNA) molecules are approximately 80 nucleotides in length. Their secondary structure includes four short double-helical elements and three loops (D, anti-codon, and T loops). The record is from RNAcentral. Lineage: Bacteria; Bacillati; Actinomycetota; Actinomycetes; Bifidobacteriales; Bifidobacteriaceae.